GCUUACGGCCUUACCACCCUGAACACGCCCGAUCUCGUCCGAUCUCGGAAGCUAAGCAGGGUCGGGCCUGAUUAGUACUUGGAUGGGAUUCCGCCUGGGAAUACCAGGUGCUGUAAGCU
Electrophorus electricus (electric eel) is the source of this 119-nucleotide ribosomal RNA. The record is from Ensembl. Lineage: Eukaryota; Metazoa; Chordata; Actinopteri; Gymnotiformes; Gymnotidae.